GAAAGGUCAAAUUUAUGUGAAUAUUUGUGUUUCUUUUCGCUUUCAUUCCGUCUAUGGUGUAUAAGAACUUGAUUAUAAUUCAAGUAUUACAUCAUUAUUCAACUCUCAAAGUUGCUGCUGCUCAACUAUAUGGGGCUAUCCAACCUCAUAGGAACUUGGUUGAAGGUAUGAAAGUAGAAAAUCUACAUUUUCUAUUUUCUCUAUUAUAUUGUGUUGCUAACUCAAGUCCAAGACUCUGAUUAAAUUCAAAUGACCAAGCUCUAAAUUGGAAUUGUUACUGAAAGAAGGUGCAGCAAACAGGAAAAUUGAUCGAAUUCUUCUCAAGGGACUCUUAUCAUCAUCGGUAGGCGUCCUAAUCAACCAGCAAAGUUUAUGUGUAAGGGACCUAAACCAAUGCUCAUCCUGAAACUCAACAUAAGUUUGUUGACUUUUCUGUAUAAGAACUUGAUUAUAAUUCAAGUAUUACAUCAUUAUUCAACUCUCAAAGUUGCUGCUGCUCAACUAUAUGGGGCUAUCCAACCUCAUAGGAACUUGGUUGAAGGUAUGAAAGUAGAAAAUCUACAUUUUCUAUUUUCUCUAUUAAAAUGUGG
This 590-nucleotide long non-coding RNA is filed under the name Solanum tuberosum (potato). Its description in RNAcentral is "long non-coding RNA (STUB_LNC011135)". Lineage: Eukaryota; Viridiplantae; Streptophyta; Magnoliopsida; Solanales; Solanaceae. The record is from RNAcentral.